CAUCUAUUUUUAUUUUGAGUAGGUGGUUCCAAGGGUUGGGCUGUUCGCCCAUUAAUGCGGUACGUGAGCUGGGUUCAGAACGUCGUGAGACAGUUC
This 96-nucleotide non-coding RNA is filed under the name Triticum aestivum (bread wheat). RNAcentral describes it as "Bacterial large subunit ribosomal RNA". It matches the Rfam family "Bacterial large subunit ribosomal RNA", at positions 2538 to 2632 of the family's 2925-position model. RNAcentral also lists the same sequence under 1 other name. The record is from Rfam by way of RNAcentral. Lineage: Eukaryota; Viridiplantae; Streptophyta; Magnoliopsida; Poales; Poaceae.